Molecule: unclassified non-coding RNA, 392 nt
Filed under: soil metagenome
Description: partial contains 5.8S ribosomal RNA, internal transcribed spacer 2, and large subunit ribosomal RNA
Rfam family: 5.8S ribosomal RNA (bases 1-123)
Source: RNAcentral
GAUGAAGAACGCAGCGAAAUGCGAUACGUAAUGUGAAUUGCAGAUCUCUCAGUGAACCAUCGAAUUUUUGAACGCACAUAGCGCCCGCCGGUCAUUCCGGCGGGCAUGCCUGUCCGAGCGUCGAUGACGCCGCUCGAGCCCCCGUGCUCGGUGUUGGGGCGCUAGGUCUCCCAGAGGCCUAGGCCCCCAAGUAGCAGUGCGCGGUCCGGCUGCGGGCCCCGGGUACAGUAACUUCACCGUUGAGAUGCCCUGGGAGCCGCUGGCCGGGUCAGCCGUAAAACCCCCGACAUAGGCCUCUCUGCCCGCCCCCGGCGGGGGGGGAGACCGCCUAAUGUUGACCUCGGAUCAGGUAGGACUACCCGCUGAACUUAAGCAUAUCAAUAAGCGGAGGA